CGCUGGCGGCGUGCUUAACACAUGCAAGUCGAACGGGGAUAAUGCGGAAGGACUCGGUUGGAAGCGAUAUCGAGUGGCGGACGGGUGAGUAACGCGUGAGCAAUCUGUCCCAGACAGGGGGAUAACACUUGGAAACAGGUGCUAAUACCGCAUGAGACCACGGAUGGGCAUCCAUUUGGGGUAAAAGGUGCAAACCGGUUUGGGGUGAGCUCGCGUCCGAUUAGCCAGUUGGCGGGGUAACGGCCCACCAAAGCGACGAUCGGUAGCCGACCUGAGAGGGUGAUCGGCCACAUUGGAACUGAGAGACGGUCCAAACUCCUACGGGAGGCAGCAGUGGGGAAUAUUGGGCAAUGGGCGAAAGCCUGAACCCCAGCAACGCCGCGUGAGUGAAGAAGGCCUUCGGGUUGUAAAGCUCUGUUACAGGUGACGAAGGAAGUGACGGUAAUCUGUAAGGAAGCCCCGGCUAACUACGUGCCAGCAGCAGC
Molecule: ribosomal RNA, 485 nt
Filed under: uncultured bacterium
Lineage: Bacteria
Description: bacterial SSU rRNA
Rfam family: Bacterial small subunit ribosomal RNA
Source: RNAcentral